RNAcentral lists this ribosomal RNA (253 nucleotides) under uncultured bacterium. RNAcentral's name for it is "partial 16S ribosomal RNA". It matches the Rfam family "Bacterial small subunit ribosomal RNA", at positions 524 to 776 of the family's 1533-position model. The record is from RNAcentral.
UUCGAAGGGAGCUAGCGUUGUUCGGAAUCCCUGGGCGUAAAGCGCACGUAGGCGGAUUUGUCAGUCAGGGGUGAAAUCCCGGGGCUCAACCUCGGAACUGCCUUUGAUACAGCAAGUCUUGAGUUCGAGAGAGGUGGGUGGAAUUCCUAGUGUAGAGGUGAAAUUCGUAGAUAUUAGGAAGAACACCGGUGGCGAAGGCGGCCCACUGGCUCGAUACUGACGCUGAGGUGCGAAAGCGUGGGGAGCAAACAGG